This 551-nucleotide long non-coding RNA is filed under the name Solanum lycopersicum (tomato). Its description in RNAcentral is "partial TCONS_00156836". The record is from RNAcentral. Lineage: Eukaryota; Viridiplantae; Streptophyta; Magnoliopsida; Solanales; Solanaceae.
AUUAAUAUUAUUGAAGGUUUUAAUUUCUUCCAUGUCCUUCUUAAUGCCAAAAAUCUGUUAAUUAGCGAUGUUACUUUUUCUUCGGGUUCGCUUAGUGAAGGCCCAGGGGAAGGGGUAGAUCUAUGUAACUGUUUGAAUUUGCGUCUCCUAUGAGAAAUUUGUGGUCUGUAUUGUGAAAUCAAUUGCGUCUCUGGAGUUGUUUACUUGAGCUUUUUGCCUGUUCAUUGUGAAAUAUGGGAAUCUGUAAUUACGAUUGUGAAAUAUUUUAAGAUUCAGAUUUGAAUGUCGAUUAAUUGGCAGCCUGCACUGACCUUGGUACAUCUUUUUACUGCCGUGAACUUUAGUUUAUGAACAAGUUUGAAUUCUUUAGGCUGCGAAGCUCAUCUACAGUUCUAUUGGGGAUGAAACAGAAACAAGUGUUGCUUUCCAUUAUUGCCUUCCAAGGUUCAAGAUAUCUCUUGUGUUGAUUAGACCAAGAGACCCCACUUACCUUCCUUAAACCUUCAAGUUCAAUAGCCACUUCCUUCAUUGUAGGCCUAUCUUCUCCAUGC